Molecule: non-coding RNA, 125 nt
Filed under: Pseudo-nitzschia australis
Lineage: Eukaryota; Bacillariophyta; Bacillariophyceae; Bacillariales; Bacillariaceae
Source: RNAcentral
GUGCCGGCCAGUGGCACCAAUGUCGAUGUUGAUUCGUUGCUGCUACUAUAAUUGCUAUUGCUUCUGUGCCUGAAGUUGCGGUAUUUGUCGCCGAGAUAAGUCAUGAUGGCCCCGCUUUCAUACAG